UGCACUGUAAAAUUUUUCCAGGAUUUCACAAGAUAUAACUGUAAUAUUUCACAGUUAAUUACAUUAUUACCACUUCACAGGCUUUAACUGUGAUAAUUCACAAUAUAAUACCGUAUUUAGACUUUUACUGUGAAAAUAAUGCAGGCGCGGGGCUUUUACAAGAAACUACUGUGAAUGCCGUCUUUUUUGAGUGGCAACUGCGGCAGCGUCAUCAGAGCGUCAUCAGAGCUCUCUGAUCUACGUGGUCUCAUUCGGUGGAUUCAGACAGCGCAUUUUCUACAUUGACCAACGAUAAAUAAAGUUAUAAGGUGCUUCUUGGGCAUCAACCCAGAGACGGGCACAAAAUCUAAGAGGCAGAGAGGUCACAUGAACCAGCAAGUCUGCACUCUUAUCAGGAAGCUCAUUGACUUCGAAUGGAUGUCAAUCUAAUUGGAUAUAACCCACACUAUGCAGGUGCCAGCUGCGAGGGAAGGAGAGAGACACCUGCCACCCUCUCUAUUCCCACCUUUUUGUCUUUUCUUACAUCUCUCUCCCUCACUCUCUCUUCUCUGUCUCCUUUCUCUUUUGACACACAUUCCUGUUACCCAGUGUCAAUCCCUGUUGCCCAGUGUUUUAUUCAUGUAAUUAAAUUGUAUUUUACUUCUAAAAAAUAAAAGUUAUGUCACUGUUUUUA
This is a long non-coding RNA of Carassius gibelio (silver crucian carp), 673 nucleotides long. RefSeq lists it as uncharacterized. The record is from RefSeq and is a predicted model, not a curated record. The transcript has 4 exons. Lineage: Eukaryota; Metazoa; Chordata; Actinopteri; Cypriniformes; Cyprinidae.